RNAcentral lists this ribosomal RNA (548 nucleotides) under Chelon persicus (Persian mullet). RNAcentral's name for it is "partial 16S ribosomal RNA". It matches the Rfam family "Bacterial large subunit ribosomal RNA", at positions 1851 to 2597 of the family's 2925-position model. The record is from RNAcentral. Lineage: Eukaryota; Metazoa; Chordata; Actinopteri; Mugiliformes; Mugilidae.
GGUCCUGCCUGCCCUGUGACCCCUGGUUUAACGGCCGCGGUAUUUUGACCGUGCAAAGGUAGCGCAAUCACUUGUCUCUUAAAUGAGGACCUGUAUGAAUGGCACAACGAGGGCUUAACUGUCUCCUUUCCCCGGUCAGUGAAAUUGAUCUUCCCGUGCAGAAGCGGGAAUCCUAACAUAAGACGAGAAGACCCUAUGGAGCUUUAGACUCCCGAACAGAUCAUGUAAGCUACCCUCAUGAAAUAGGUAAUAACUAUUGAAUUUCUGUUCCCCUGUCUUUGGUUGGGGCGACCACGGGGAAGAAAAAAACCCCCAUGUGGACCAGGAGCACAUACUCCUACAACCAUGAGCCACAGCUCUAAUGCACAAAACUUUUGACCAUUAGAUCCGGCAAAGCCGAUCAACGGACCAAGUUACCCUAGGGAUAACAGCGCAAUCCCCUUUAAGAGUCCAUAUCGACAAGGGGGUUUACGACCUCGAUGUUGGAUCAAGACAUCCUAAUGGUGCAGCCGCUAUUAAGGGUUCGUUUGUUCAACGAUUAAAGUCUU